GUAGAUCAUGUCGAUUCGUUACGUGCCGUCUCUCCGUCGCAGUCUCCCACAGCGUGGUCGCGUGGAACCGCCGCUUCUUAAGUUGCCUCCCACGACACCGACUAAUACUCCUAUGAUUCCCACGACGACGCGGACGAUGACUGCCAACUGGCACAGCUCCAUGCUAAAGAAGCCCGACGACGUUUGCAGCGACGGGCGGUGUGUACAAAAGGUACCCCCCUGAUGUGCCGUUAAAUGGUCGUCCGUCGUUGACUCGGCGUUCGGUCAGCCCCGCCUUUGUAUUCUUUAUAUCAAACUUUGUUCAGUCUGAAAACAAUUGUGCUACUCUUAAAAAGGUAGUAACAAAUGAGAAAAAAAGAGAGACAACUUUUAACGGUGGAUCUCUUGGCUCACGCAUCGAUGAAGAACGCAGCCAGCUGCGAUAAGUAGUGUGAAUUGCAGAAUUCAGUGAAUCAUCGAAUCUUUGAACGCAAAUGGCGCUCUUGGGUUCUCCCAGGAGCAUGUCUGUCUGAGUGUCGGAUACCAUCUAACGCACACGUGUGUGCGGCGUUGAGGCGUCACGGCCUUUCUUCCAAAGAGUUGGUGGCCGUGUCCCUUGAAGGGAAGGCAAUACUCGCAUCGUGCGCGACCAGCACUCCCAUGCGAAGGCCAAAAAUUCUUUCCUUGGCAUGGCCGCUGUUGGCGCCACCUUACGACGACAAAUCAGAUUCAUAUCUUGACCUCAGAUCAGGCAAGGCUACCCGCUGAAUUUAAGCAUAUUAAUAAGCGGAGGAAAAGAAACUAACAAGGAUUCCCCCAGUAACGGCGAGUGAAGCGGGAAUAGCUCAAAUUUGAAAUCUCCGACGCUUGCGUCGGCGAGUUGUAGUUGCCAGAAGCACUUUCUAGGCGGAUCGACCGUGCCUAAGUUGCUUGGAACAGCACCGUCGCAGAG
Molecule: ribosomal RNA, 931 nt
Filed under: Siderastrea stellata
Lineage: Eukaryota; Metazoa; Cnidaria; Anthozoa; Scleractinia; Rhizangiidae
Description: eukaryotic LSU rRNA
Rfam family: 5.8S ribosomal RNA (bases 365-518)
Source: RNAcentral